AUGGUCAGUGUCACCGACCUCUGCCCGUUGUCCCUGGAGAUCCUGAACCGGCCCUUGACUGACGGCGCGUACACCGUGCUGCCACCAGUGUUGCUGAUUUCUGCAACUCAUUCCAUCCGGGCGGCCGUGACCCUGCUGGAGUCCGGGGGGGACCUCCAGCCCCCCGGGGGGUCCCUGACUCUGCUCUGCCGCGGGUCUGGAUUUGAUUUUGGAAGUUUUGGGAUGGGCUGGUACCGCCAAAGACCAAGGAAGGCGCUGGAAUGGCUCGCAGAUAUCACCAGCAAUGGUGCCAACACCUACUACGUGCCGUCAGUGCGGGGCCGGUUCAGGAUCUCCAGGGACAAUGGGCAGAGCUCGGUGACGCUGACCAUGAACAACCUCAAGGACGAGGAUUCCGGCGCCUAUUUCUGCGCCAAAUAUUACAGCAGUGGUUGGUCUGCUGCUUCUGCUGUUCUUGCAGAAACGAGAGCGUUGGAAUUGGCAAAUCUGAACCACCACAUUGAUUGGGGUCUUGGCAGGGAAACGAACCGAAAUGACGGCAAUGGGUAA
Non-coding RNA from Oenanthe melanoleuca, 549 nucleotides. The record is from the annotation of a RefSeq genome assembly. Lineage: Eukaryota; Metazoa; Chordata; Aves; Passeriformes; Muscicapidae.